This 582-nucleotide long non-coding RNA is filed under the name Homo sapiens (human). Its description in RNAcentral is "non-protein coding lnc-POTED-5:1". The record is from RNAcentral. Lineage: Eukaryota; Metazoa; Chordata; Mammalia; Primates; Hominidae.
GCUGCAAAAUGUUACCAAAUAUUCACUUACUAUGCUUUUAUUCAUUUUCCUCUCUCUAUAAACCUUCAGAUAGAAAAUGCAGUUGAAAGAUAUUUCAUAAAGGAAGAAAAGAAGUAUGAAUACAGCUUUAACCAUUUAUUUUGGUGGAGUCUUUAAGAUUUUCUCUAUCUUGAGUGCGCGAGGCGCGGGGAGCCUAGGACCUGGAGCGAGAGCCGCCUACCUGCAGCCGCCGCCCACGGCACGGCAGCCAUCAUGGCGUUCCUGCUGCGCUUCGUGCUCCUGUGCGGAGUCGCGGAUUUCACCAGAAGUUUGAGUAUCACUACUCCUGAGCAGAUGAUUGAAAAAGCCAAAGGGGAAACUACCUAUCUGCCAUGCAAAUUAUGCUUAGUCCUGAAGACCAGGGACCACUGGACAUUGAGUGGCUGAUAUCACCAGCUGAUAAUCAGAAGAUGGAUCAAGUGAUGAUUUUAUAUUCUGGAAACAAAAUUUAUGAUGAUUACUAUCCAGAACUGAAAGGCCGAGUACAUUUUAAGAGAAAUGAUCUCAAAUCUGGUGAUGCUUCAAUAAAUGUAACGAAUUUAC